This 506-nucleotide ribosomal RNA is filed under the name uncultured bacterium. Its description in RNAcentral is "partial 16S ribosomal RNA". It matches the Rfam family "Bacterial small subunit ribosomal RNA", at positions 29 to 523 of the family's 1533-position model. The record is from RNAcentral.
AGUGAACGCUGGCGGUAGGCCUAACACAUGCAAGUCGAACGGCAGCACAGGAGAGCUUGCUCUCUGGGUGGCGAGUGGCGGACGGGUGAGGAAUACAUCGGAAUCUACUCUGUCGUGGGGGAUAACGUAGGGAAACUUACGCUAAUACCGCAUACGACCUACGGGUGAAAGCAGGGGACCUUCGGGCCUUGCGCGAUUGAAUGAGCCGAAGUCGGAUUAGCUAGUUGGCGGGGUAAAGGCCCACCAAGGCGACGAUCCGUAGCUGGUCUGAGAGGAUGAUCAGCCACACUGGAACUGAGACACGGUCCAGACUCCUAAGGGAGGCAGCAGUGGGGAGUAUUGGACAAGGGGCGCAAGCCUGAUCCAGCCAUACCGCGUGGGUGAAGAAGGCCUUCGGGUUGUAAGGCCCUUUUGUUGGGAAAGAAAUCCAGCUGGCUAAUACCCGGUUGGGAUGACGGUACCCAAAGAAUAAGCACCGGCUAACUUCGUGCCAGCAGCCGCCGUAA